Molecule: ribosomal RNA, 274 nt
Filed under: uncultured bacterium
Lineage: Bacteria
Description: partial 16S ribosomal RNA
Rfam family: Bacterial small subunit ribosomal RNA
Source: RNAcentral
AGACGGAGGGGGCGAGCGUUAUUCGGAUUUAUUGGGCGUAAAGGGUCCGUAGGGGGUUUAUCAAGUCUGAUGUGAAAGCCCGCGGCUCAACCGCGGAAUUGCAUUGGAAACUGAUAGACUAGAGCAUAGGAGAGGUGAGUGGAAUUCCUGGUGUAGCGGUGGAAUGCGUAGAUAUCAGGAGGAACACCGAAGGCGAAGGCAGCUCACUGGACUAUUGCUGACCCUCAGGGACGAAAGCUAGGGGAGCGAACAGGAUUAGAAACCCCGGUAGUCC